AGGCUUGUAGCUUGUGGUUAGAGCGCACCCCUGAUAAGGGUGAGGUCGGUGGUUCAAGUCCACUCAGGCCUACCA
RNAcentral lists this transfer RNA (75 nucleotides) under Escherichia albertii. RNAcentral describes it as "tRNA-Ile". It matches the Rfam family "tRNA". From Rfam's summary of the family: Transfer RNA (tRNA) molecules are approximately 80 nucleotides in length. Their secondary structure includes four short double-helical elements and three loops (D, anti-codon, and T loops). Lineage: Bacteria; Pseudomonadati; Pseudomonadota; Gammaproteobacteria; Enterobacterales; Enterobacteriaceae. The record is from RNAcentral.